This 1016-nucleotide ribosomal RNA is filed under the name uncultured bacterium. Its description in RNAcentral is "bacterial SSU rRNA". It matches the Rfam family "Bacterial small subunit ribosomal RNA", at positions 357 to 1376 of the family's 1533-position model. The record is from RNAcentral.
AGGAAUAUUGGUCAAUGGGCGAGAGCCUGAACCAGCCAAGUAGCGUGAAGGAUGACUGCCCUAUGGGUUGUAAACUUCUUUUAUAAAGGAAUAAAGUCGGGUAUGCAUACCCGUUUGCAUGUACUUUAUGAAUAAGGAUCGGCUAACUCCGUGCCAGCAGCCGCGGUAAUACGGAGGAUCCGAGCGUUAUCCGGAUUUAUUGGGUUUAAAGGGAGCGUAGAUGGAUGUUUAAGUCAGUUGUGAAAGUUUGCGGCUCAACCGUAAAAUUGCAGUUGAUACUGGAUAUCUUGAGUGCAGUUGAGGCAGGCGGAAUUCGUGGUGUAGCGGUGAAAUGCUUAGAUAUCACGAAGAACUCCGAUUGCGAAGGCAGCCUGCUAAGCUGCAACUGACAUUGAGGCUCGAAAGUGUGGGUAUCAAACAGGAUUAGAUACCCUGGUAGUCCACACGGUAAACGAUGAAUACUCGCUGUUUGCGAUAUACUGCAAGCGGCCAAGCGAAAGCGUUAAGUAUUCCACCUGGGGAGUACGCCGGCAACGGUGAAACUCAAAGGAAUUGACGGGGGCCCGCACAAGCGGAGGAACAUGUGGUUUAAUUCGAUGAUACGCGAGGAACCUUACCCGGGCUUAAAUUGCAGAUGAAUUACGGUGAAAGCCGUAAGCCGCAAGGCAUCUGUGAAGGUGCUGCAUGGUUGUCGUCAGCUCGUGCCGUGAGGUGUCGGCUUAAGUGCCAUAACGAGCGCAACCCUUGUUGUCAGUUACUAACAGGUUCCGCUGAGGACUCUGACAAGACUGCCAUCGUAAGAUGUGAGGAAGGUGGGGAUGACGUCAAAUCAGCACGGCCCUUACGUCCGGGGCUACACACGUGUUACAAUGGGGGGUACAGAGGGCCGCUACCACGCGAGUGGAUGCCAAUCCCCAAAACCUCUCUCAGUUCGGACUGGAGUCUGCAACCCGACUCCACGAAGCUGGAUUCGCUAGUAAUCGCGCAUCAGCCACGGCGCGGUGAAUACGUUCCCG